GGUUAAGCGACUAAGCGUACACGGUGGAUGCCCUGGCAGUCAGAGGCGAUGAAGGACGUGCUAAUCUGCGAUAAGCGUCGGUAAGGUGAUAUGAACCGUUAUAACCGGCGAUUUCCGAAUGGGGAAACCCAGUGUGUUUCGACACACUAUCAUUAACUGAAUCCAUAGGUUAAUGAGGCGAACCGGGGGAACUGAAACAUCUAAGUACCCCGAGGAAAAGAAAUCAACCGAGAUUCCCCCAGUAGCGGCGAGCGAACGGGGAGCAGCCCAGAGCCUGAAUCAGUGUGUGUGUUAGUGGAAGCGUCUGGAAAGGCGCGCGAUACAGGGUGACAGCCCCGUACACAAAAAUGCACAUGCUGUGAGCUCGAUGAGUAGGGCGGGACACGUGGUAUCCUGUCUGAAUAUGGGGGGACCAUCCUCCAAGGCUAAAUACUCCUGACUGACCGAUAGUGAACCAGUACCGUGAGGGAAAGGCGAAAAGAACCCCGGCGAGGGGAGUGAAAAAGAACCUGAAACCGUGUACGUACAAGCAGUGGGAGCACGCUUCGGCGUGUGACUGCGUACCUUUUGUAUAAUGGGUCAGCGACUUAUAUUCUGUAGCAAGGUUAACCGAAUAGGGGAGCCGAAGGGAAACCGAGUCUUAACUGGGCGUUAAGUUGCAGGGUAUAGACCCGAAACCCGGUGAUCUAGCCAUGGGCAGGUUGAAGGUUGGGUAACACUAACUGGAGGACCGAACCGACUAAUGUUGAAAAAUUAGCGGAUGACUUGUGGCUGGGGGUGAAAGGCCAAUCAAACCGGGAGAUAGCUGGUUCUCCCCGAAAGCUAUUUAGGUAGCGCCUCGUGAAUUCAUCUCCGGGGGUAGAGCACUGUUUCGGCAAGGGGGUCAUCCCGACUUACCAACCCGAUGCAAACUGCGAAUACCGGAGAAUGUUAUCACGGGAGACACACGGCGGGUGCUAACGUCCGUCGUGAAGAGGGAAACAACCCAGACCGCCAGCUAAGGUCCCAAAGUCAUGGUUAAGUGGGAAACGAUGUGGGAAGGCCCAGACAGCCAGGAUGUUGGCUUAGAAGCAGCCAUCAUUUAAAGAAAGCGUAAUAGCUCACUGGUCGAGUCGGCCUGCGCGGAAGAUGUAACGGGGCUAAACCAUGCACCGAAGCUGCGGCAGCGACGCUUAUGCGUUGUUGGGUAGGGGAGCGUUCUGUAAGCCUGUGAAGGUGUGCUGUGAGGCAUGCUGGAGGUAUCAGAAGUGCGAAUGCUGACAUAAGUAACGAUAAAGCGGGUGAAAAGCCCGCUCGCCGGAAGACCAAGGGUUCCUGUCCAACGUUAAUCGGGGCAGGGUGAGUCGACCCCUAAGGCGAGGCCGAAAGGCGUAGUCGAUGGGAAACAGGUUAAUAUUCCUGUACUUGGUGUUACUGCGAAGGGGGGACGGAGAAGGCUAUGUUGGCCGGGCGACGGUUGUCCCGGUUUAAGCGUGUAGGCUGGUUUUCCAGGCAAAUCCGGAAAAUCAAGGCUGAGGCGUGAUGACGAGGCACUACGGUGCUGAAGCAACAAAUGCCCUGCUUCCAGGAAAAGCCUCUAAGCAUCAGGUAACAUCAAAUCGUACCCCAAACCGACACAGGUGGUCAGGUAGAGAAUACCAAGGCGCUUGAGAGAACUCGGGUGAAGGAACUAGGCAAAAUGGUGCCGUAACUUCGGGAGAAGGCACGCUGAUAUGUAGGUGAAGUCCCUCGCGGAUGGAGCUGAAAUCAGUCGAAGAUACCAGCUGGCUGCAACUGUUUAUUAAAAACACAGCACUGUGCAAACACGAAAGUGGACGUAUACGGUGUGACGCCUGCCCGGUGCCGGAAGGUUAAUUGAUGGGGU
Molecule: ribosomal RNA, 1864 nt
Filed under: Escherichia coli
Lineage: Bacteria; Pseudomonadati; Pseudomonadota; Gammaproteobacteria; Enterobacterales; Enterobacteriaceae
Description: partial 23S ribosomal RNA
Rfam family: Bacterial large subunit ribosomal RNA
Source: RNAcentral